This is a long non-coding RNA of Podarcis muralis (Common wall lizard), 500 nucleotides long. RefSeq lists it as uncharacterized. NCBI's taxonomy places the organism in Eukaryota, Metazoa, Chordata, Lepidosauria, Squamata, Lacertidae. The record is from RefSeq and is a predicted model, not a curated record.
GACGCUCACGGCGGGCGGGCGGGCGGGGAGGCAGCGCGUCCGGAACUGUUGUCCCCGCCGCUGCUGCCACUGCUGCCGCCGCCGUGCACGGCCCCGAUUCUCCACCGGAAGCUGCCUCGGGGGUGUCACGUCUCCGUCCUACCGGAGGGUGGUAGGCUGUUUGUGCAAAAGGAAGGAGGCCGCGGAGGAUGCGAGCGAUGGGGUCGCCCCCCACCCGCUCUGCAAAGAUACAAAGUCAGAAGUAUAAAGUACAUGAAGAAAAAAGAAAGAAGCAAAAAGAAAAAUAGAAAAAAAUCCAACUUUCAGAAACAUUUUUACAUUACCAACCGGACUUCCCCACGUCUCCCUCACCCUGCGUUCCUUUCAAUAAACAUAUCAGCAAAUUAUUACCUUGUUUCAUACCUUACUUGUAUCUUUCAAAUAUUAUUCUUCUAAAUUUAAAGUACCUUUUGUCAAUAACUUGUACCUUAAAAUAAACAUAAUAUAACUUUAAAUUUCAA